This 253-nucleotide ribosomal RNA is filed under the name uncultured bacterium. RNAcentral's name for it is "partial 16S ribosomal RNA". It matches the Rfam family "Bacterial small subunit ribosomal RNA", at positions 524 to 776 of the family's 1533-position model. The record is from RNAcentral.
UACGAAGGUCCCAAGCGUUAUCCGGAUUUAUUGGGUUUAAAGGGUGCGUAGGCGGGCUAUUAAGUCAGUGGUGAAAUCUCCAUGCCUAACAUGGAAACUGCCAUUGAUACUGAUGGUCUUGAGUACAUUUGAAGUGGGCGGAAUGUGUCAUGUAGUGGUGAAAUACUUAGAUAUGUCACAGAACACCGAUUGCAUAGGCAGCUCACUAAACUGUAACUGACGCUGAGGCACGAAAGCGUGGGGAGCAAACAGG